This 253-nucleotide ribosomal RNA is filed under the name uncultured bacterium. RNAcentral's name for it is "partial 16S ribosomal RNA". It matches the Rfam family "Bacterial small subunit ribosomal RNA", at positions 524 to 776 of the family's 1533-position model. The record is from RNAcentral.
UACUGAGGGUGCAAGCGUUAAUCGGAAUUACUGGGCGUAAAGCGAGUGUAGGCGGCUAUUUAAGUCGGAUGUGAAAGCCCCGGGCUCAACCUGGGAAUUGCAUUCGAUACUGAAUAGCUAGAAUUUAGUAGAGGUAAGUGGAAUUCCGGGUGUAGCGGUGAAAUGCGUAGAUAUCCGGAGGAACAUCAGUGGCGAAGGCGGCUUACUGGACUAAAAUUGACGCUGAGGCUCGAAAGCGUGGGGAGCAAACAGG